UACGUAGGGGGCAAGCGUUGUCCGGAUUUAUUGGGCGUAAAGAGCGUGUAGGCGGCUUUACAGGUCCGUUGUGAAAACUCGAGGCUCAACCUCGAGACGCCGGUGGAAACCGUAAAGCUAGAGUCCGGAAGAGGAGAGUGGAAUUCCUGGUGUAGCGGUGAAAUGCGCAGAUAUCAGGAGGAACACCCGUGGCGAAAGCGGCUCUCUGGGAUGGUACUGACGCUGAGGUGCGAAAGCGUGGGGAGCAAACAGG
Molecule: ribosomal RNA, 253 nt
Filed under: uncultured bacterium
Lineage: Bacteria
Description: partial 16S ribosomal RNA
Rfam family: Bacterial small subunit ribosomal RNA
Source: RNAcentral